Pelobates cultripes (western spadefoot toad) is the source of this 301-nucleotide non-coding RNA. The record is from the annotation of a GenBank genome assembly. Lineage: Eukaryota; Metazoa; Chordata; Amphibia; Anura; Pelobatidae.
GCAGGACAUGCAGGGUUGACUGUUUAAUUCUAAUGAUGCGCUUGCACUGUGCUUGUUGGGGAUAGUUCCCUGGUCUCCCCAAAAGCGGGUCACCAGUGAACUAAGGUGGGACAGGACCAGGAAAUCUUUACUGUCAGUUGGGAGGCCUGUUAUAAGCACCAAAACAACUUCAGCUUAUUUGGUUAGUUUAGUUUAUAGCUCAUGCACCUGCAGGGCAACUGCUCAAUUCUCUGCCAUUUAGAAGUUAAAUCACUUUGUUUAUGCAGCCCUAGGAGCGUCUUCCCUGCAUGUGACCUUACAC